GUGGGGAAUAUUGGACAAUGGGCGAAAGCCUGAUCCAGCCAUACCGCGUGAGUGAUGAAGGCCUUAGGGUUGUAAAGCUCUUUUGUCCGGGAAGAUAAUGACUGUACCGGAAGAAUAAGCCCCGGCUAACUUCGUGCCAGCAGCCGCGGUAAUACGAAGGGGGCUAGCGUUGCUCGGAAUCACUGGGCGUAAAGGGCGCGUAGGCGGACUUUUAAGUCGGAGGUGAAAGCCCAGGGCUCAACCCUGGAAUUGCCUUCGAUACUGGGAGUCUUGAGUUCGGAAGAGGUUGGUGGAACUGCGAGUGUAGAGGUGAAAUUCGUAGAUAUUCGCAAGAACACCGGUGGCGAAGGCGGCCAACUGGUCCGAAACUGACGCUGAGGCGCGAAAGCGUGGGGAGCAAACAGGAUUAGAAACCCGAGUAGUCC
Molecule: ribosomal RNA, 425 nt
Filed under: uncultured bacterium
Lineage: Bacteria
Description: partial 16S ribosomal RNA
Rfam family: Bacterial small subunit ribosomal RNA
Source: RNAcentral